CGGCGGACGGGUGAGUAACACGUGAGUAACCUGCCUUAGACAUAGGGAUAGCCUCGGAAACCGGGAUUAAUACCAAAUGAAAUCACAUAUGCACAUGCAUAAAUGAUCAAAGCUCCGGCGGUCUAAGAUGGACUCGCGUCCCAUUAGCUAGUUGGUGAGGUAACGGCCCACCAAGGCGACGAUGGGUAGCCGGCCUGAGAGGGUGAACGGCCACAUUGGAACUGAGAAACGGUCCAAACUCCUACGGGAGGCAGCAGCC
RNAcentral lists this ribosomal RNA (259 nucleotides) under uncultured Peptoniphilus sp. RNAcentral's name for it is "partial 16S ribosomal RNA". It matches the Rfam family "Bacterial small subunit ribosomal RNA", at positions 96 to 355 of the family's 1533-position model. The record is from RNAcentral. Lineage: Bacteria; Bacillati; Bacillota; Tissierellia; Tissierellales; Peptoniphilaceae.